RNAcentral lists this ribosomal RNA (301 nucleotides) under uncultured bacterium. RNAcentral's name for it is "partial 16S ribosomal RNA". It matches the Rfam family "Bacterial small subunit ribosomal RNA", at positions 509 to 808 of the family's 1533-position model. The record is from RNAcentral.
CAGCAGCCACGGUAAUACGAAGGGUGCAAGCGUUAAUCGGAAUUACUGGGCGUAAAGCGUGCGUAGGCGGUGAGUUAAGUCUGCUGUGAAAUCCCCGGGCUCAACCUGGGAAUGGCAGUGGAUACUGGCUCGCUAGAGUGUGUCAGAGGAUGGUGGAAUUCCCGGUGUAGCGGUGAAAUGCGUAGAGAUCGGGAGGAACAUCAGUGGCGAAGGCGGCCAUCUGGGACAACACUGACGCUGAGGCACGAAAGCGUGGGGAGCAAACAGGAUUAGAUACCCAGUAGUCCCUGUCUCUUAUACA